Molecule: ribosomal RNA, 253 nt
Filed under: uncultured bacterium
Lineage: Bacteria
Description: partial 16S ribosomal RNA
Rfam family: Bacterial small subunit ribosomal RNA
Source: RNAcentral
UACGGAGGGGGCUAGCGUUGUUCGGAAUUACUGGGCGUAAAGCGCACGUAGGCGGCUUUGUAAGUUAGAGGUGAAAGCCCGGGGCUCAACUCCGGAAUUGCCUUUAAGACUGCAUCGCUAGAAUUGUGGAGAGGUAAGUGGAAUUCCGAGUGUAGAGGUGAAAUUCGUAGAUAUUCGGAAGAACACCAGUGGCGAAGGCGACUUACUGGACACAUAUUGACGCUGAGGUGCGAAAGCGUGGGGAGCGAACGGG